GACGUAGGGCGCGAGCGUUGUCCGGAUUUAUUGGGCGUAAAGAGCUCGUAGGCGGCUUGUCGCGUCGACUGUGAAAAACCCGCAGCUCAACUGUGGGCUUGCAGCUGAUACGGGCGGGCUGGGAUUCGGUAGGGGAGACUGGAAUUCCUGGUGUAGCGGUGAAAUGCGCAGAUAUCAGGAGGAACACCGGUGGCGAAGGCGGGGUCUCUGGGGCCGAUACUGACGCUGAGGAGCGAAAGCGUGGGGAGCGAACAGG
RNAcentral lists this ribosomal RNA (256 nucleotides) under uncultured bacterium. RNAcentral's name for it is "partial 16S ribosomal RNA". It matches the Rfam family "Bacterial small subunit ribosomal RNA", at positions 524 to 776 of the family's 1533-position model. The record is from RNAcentral.